This 1375-nucleotide ribosomal RNA is filed under the name Salmonella enterica subsp. enterica serovar Teko. RNAcentral describes it as "partial 23S ribosomal RNA". It matches the Rfam family "Bacterial large subunit ribosomal RNA", at positions 1 to 1298 of the family's 2925-position model. The record is from RNAcentral. Lineage: Bacteria; Pseudomonadati; Pseudomonadota; Gammaproteobacteria; Enterobacterales; Enterobacteriaceae.
GGGUUGUGAGGUUAAGCGACUAAGCGUACACGGUGGAUGCCCUGGCAGUCAGAGGCGAUGAAGGGCGUGCUAAUCUGCGAUAAGCGCCGGUAAGGUGAUAUGAACCGUUAUAACCGGCGAUACCCGAAUGGGGAAACCCAGUGUGACUUGUCACACUAUCAUUAACUGAAUCCAUAGGUUAAUGAGGCGAACCGGGGGAACUGAAACAUCUAAGUACCCCGAGGAAAAGAAAUCAACCGAGAUUCCCCCAGUAGCGGCGAGCGAACGGGGAGGAGCCCAGAGCCUGAAUCAGCAUGUGUGUUAGUGGAAGCGUCUGGAAAGGCGCGCGAUACAGGGUGACAGCCCCGUACACAAAAGCGCAUGUGCUGUGAGCUCGAUGAGUAGGGCGGGACACGUGGUAUCCUGUCUGAAUAUGGGGGGACCAUCCUCCAAGGCUAAAUACUCCUGACUGACCGAUAGUGAACCAGUACCGUGAGGGAAAGGCGAAAAGAACCCCGGCGAGGGGAGUGAAAAAGAACCUGAAACCGUGUACGUACAAGCAGUGGGAGCCCCACCACCAAAGCAUUCUCUGGUGUUGAAGGCCCUGCAAAGCAGCAUCGCGGUGGCGGAGCGUCGUUUGCGGCGCCCAACACACAAAACAAGCGGUGAGUGCUUUGGGGUGGGGUGACUGCGUACCUUUUGUAUAAUGGGUCAGCGACUUAUAUUCUGUAGCAAGGUUAACCGAAUAGGGGAGCCGAAGGGAAACCGAGUCUUAAUUGGGCGUUAAGUUGCAGGGUAUAGACCCGAAACCCGGUGAUCUAGCCAUGGGCAGGUUGAAGGUUGGGUAACACUAACUGGAGGACCGAACCGACUAAUGUUGAAAAAUUAGCGGAUGACCUGUGGCUGGGGGUGAAAGGCCAAUCAAACCGGGAGAUAGCUGGUUCUCCCCGAAAGCUAUUUAGGUAGCGCCUCGUGAACUCAUCUCCGGGGGUAGAGCACUGUUUCGGCUAGGGGGUCAUCCCGACUUACCAACCCGAUGCAAACUGCGAAUACCGAAGAAUGUUAUCACGGGAGACACACGGCGGGUGCUAACGUCCGUCGUGAAGAGGGAAACAACCCAGACCGCCAGCUAAGGUCCCAAAGUCAUGGUUAAGUGGGAAACGAUGUGGGAAGGCCCAGACAGCCAGGAUGUUGGCUUAGAAGCAGCCAUCAUUUAAAGAAAGCGUAAUAGCUCACUGGUCGAGUCGGCCUGCGCGGAAGAUGUAACGGGGCUAAACCAUGCACCGAAGCUGCGGCAGCGAACGUAUCACCCAAGACAACUUUGCACAGUUAACGAUUGACGGAGCGAAGCGACGUCAAAGCGUUUUACAACGUCGAGUUGGCUUAGGGAUACGUU